CCCUUAGAUGUUCUGGGCCGCACGCGCGCUACACUGAUGCAUUCAACGAGUCUAAAACCUGCUCUGAUAGGGGUGGGUAAUCUUUUGAAUGUGCAUCGUGAUUGGGAUAGAUGAUUGCAAUUUUUCAUCUUCAACGAGGAAUGCCUAGUAAACGCAAGUCAUCAGCUUGCAUUGGUUACGUCCCUGCCCUUUGUACACACCGCCCGUCGCUCCUACCGAUUGAAUGAUCCGAUGAAUAUCAUGGAUUGAGGAUGCAAGUAGGUUAGCCUAUCUUCAUCUUCGAGAAGUGAAGUAAAUCUUAUCAUUUAGAGGAAGGAGAAGUCGUAACA
RNAcentral lists this ribosomal RNA (329 nucleotides) under uncultured eukaryote. Its description in RNAcentral is "partial 18S ribosomal RNA". It matches the Rfam family "Eukaryotic small subunit ribosomal RNA", at positions 1470 to 1796 of the family's 1831-position model. The record is from RNAcentral.